GUGUCAUCUGAUUGGCCUCCUCCGGUGUGACAUCACGGGAUGUGAGCUCAGAGAAGAGAGCAGGCAGCCAGUACUGUGCUUCUCCAGCUGCUUGAGAGUCCAACCAGGCCAAGCCUUCUUUCAGCAGGUGAUCCUGUAAACAUGAGAGGCCAGGCACACUUCAAUGAUCUGAACACCGAGCUCAUAAUAGAAGUCACCAACUCCAAGCAUCUCAGACCAAAAACCUUUGCCAGCUGUGGGAAGGACAGGAAUCAUUAUAUUCAACUGCAGAACAUAUUAUUUACACCAACUUCUCCCAGGCUCUUUGUAUCUUUUUUUUUUACAGAAUAUAUCCUGAAUGGUUCUCACAGGCAAGUGGGUCAACUCCAAUGGUGGCACACAUUUCCUGAAACUGCACCCUAAACUUCUGAGCUUCAGCAGGUCGUUGUAUUGACGUUCCUCUGGAUCCUCUUCCACAGCAGCAGGCCUGUGAAAACAGUCAGUACUUACAC
Molecule: long non-coding RNA, 491 nt
Organism: Lates calcarifer (barramundi perch)
Lineage: Eukaryota; Metazoa; Chordata; Actinopteri; Centropomidae
Exons: 3
Source: RefSeq, a predicted model, not a curated record